ACCUCAUAGUUCAGCAAAUAACACAAGCAUUAGGAUCUUCCUCUGCGCUUCUAACAUGAUAAUAAGUUGUCAUGUGAGGAUUAUAAGCCUGGUAAGCCUUGACAAGGUCGGCCACAUCAUCCUUUUUAGGCUCAUCUUUCUUCUUAUCGUCCUUCUUUGCCUCCUCUUUCUUGGGCUCCUCCUUCUUCUUCUCAGGCUCUUUUGCAGGCCCCACAGACAGUAUCUCUGUGUGACACAGCUUCCUCAGCUUGCUCACUAUACUCACCGGAUCAAUGUCCCCAAUCACCGUCAGUUUCUUCUCCUUCAUGUCCAUUGAAAU
This 319-nucleotide long non-coding RNA is filed under the name Citrus sinensis (sweet orange). RNAcentral's name for it is "long non-coding RNA (CSIN_LNC004028)". Lineage: Eukaryota; Viridiplantae; Streptophyta; Magnoliopsida; Sapindales; Rutaceae. The record is from RNAcentral.